This 253-nucleotide ribosomal RNA is filed under the name uncultured Eubacteriales bacterium. Its description in RNAcentral is "uncultured Clostridiales bacterium partial 16S ribosomal RNA". It matches the Rfam family "Bacterial small subunit ribosomal RNA", at positions 524 to 776 of the family's 1533-position model. Lineage: Bacteria; Bacillati; Bacillota; Clostridia; Eubacteriales. The record is from RNAcentral.
UACGGAGGAUGCGAGCGUUAUCCGGAUUUAUUGGGUGUAAAGGGUGCGUAGACGGGAAAUUAAGUUAGUUGUGAAAUCCCUCGGCUUAACUGAGGAACUGCAACUAAAACUGAUUUUCUUGAGUACUGGAGAGGAAAGUGGAAUUCCUAGUGUAGCGGUGAAAUGCGUAGAUAUUAGGAGGAACAUCAGUGGCGAAGGCGGCCACCUGGACCGGUAUUGACGCUGAGGCGCGAAAGCGUGGGGAGCAAACAGG